CCCUGGGAGUGGGCGGCAUACAAAUACCAAUAAACUUCAAACUUCAACUAUGAAAGCCUAUCAACUUUUUCCACUCUAUACAAUUACAGAAAAAAGUAAAUAUUUUAGUUUUUGUUUGAACAGGUGUUCAAAUGCAACCAGGGAAUCAAAGAAACCCUUUGUGAUUGAAUCUUUUCUGGAAAUAUUAUAAAAGCGGACAAGGAACUAUCCUGCCAUUUGGUUAGGACCAGAACGAUGGCGACCGCAUAAGAAGGGAGCGAAGACAGAGAAGCAGUGGAAAUCGGAUACUUGUUACUAUUGCUGACAACCCAAAGAGGAAGGCAACGUGAAACUGGCAGAGAGGGUGAGCUGGAAAGAAGAAAGCGUCGGGAGAGAGGCUGUUUUUGCAGCUCAAUUUUGCCGAAAAGAACUGGAGCAAAGAAUUUCAAAGCAGUGAUUCAACUUCCUUACAAGAGCUUAUCUACAUAAAUUCAUUAUUUCUACAUUAAUCAUUCUAAUUUUUUUUUAAAAAAGAAAGAAGACAUUUUAAAUUCUCUGUCAUCACAAGUAUUUAAAAACAUUUUAAGUAGAGCUGGCAUUAAUCAGCCUAUCCCACAAUUUAAAGACAACAGUAUGAUGCAGUGCAUUUUUUUUCAAAUGAAAGCACACCAGGGAAAAUUCUCAUGUGCACACUUUUCCCUUUCCUUUGUCCAUAAACUAUAGAUAUCCAUGAUCAUACAAAGUAGAUUUUGCCUGCCUUGUACUCACAGGACUUUCCUAUUUUAUACCAUAAAUGACCAGUUAAGAUAAAGUAUUUUCAUUGCAUGUGAUUCAAAUGUGUUAUUUCAAAAGUAAUCCUGCUAAUCCCUACAUUUGUAGGUAUUAAAAUUAAAAUAUAUAUUAGUUUAGCCAGUAUUCGGAAUGAUGGAAACAUGAUGGUAUGGAGGCCCAGAAAGGUUGUGGAAUCCGUUUAGUUAUACUCAGAUCGCUAUGAAUACGGUACUUGCUAGACUUUUGGUUACAACUGGAAGGACAACAAAAGAUCAAUGACAGAUUUAAAAAAAUACCAUCCUCCUAAGCUAAUUUGUCACUCAUUAAUUGCUACAUGAACUGCACUUUGGACCAGAGCAAAAAAUGGUAACUGGUGAGGCAGCAGUAAUCUUAUAUUGAACAGAGAAACUGGGAGGUUUCGUAGGAUCUCUGAAUGGCAGGUAUACUUAAAAUCAGUUUGAAAGCAAAUAGUUUUCCAUGAUGACUUCUACUUCAAGCGGUUAGCACCAAAUUUGUAACUGGAUAAGGCUUCUUUUGAGUCAAGAUCAACUAUUGGUGAAUCUAUGAUCAGACACUUACCCCUUCCUUGACAAAAGUAAAAAAGCAGCAUCUACAUCUUCUGGCUAACCUGCAGCUCACGCACAUAAUCAAGCAGAGAAUCAGUCCACAGUGUUUUCUUCUCCUGGCAACAAUUUUUGUAAGCACAUAUUACUCACUGAAACAUGUUCCUGCAAGCAAGGAUUUAACACUCCAUAUAAACUAACAGAACAACAGUUGUCACUGAAUGAGUUUUUGAGAGUUCUUUAAAGGGUAUUUAGUUCUUUUCUAUGAAAAAGAUGAAAACAGUACAUAUAGUCCUCAACUUACAACAGUUCGCUUAGUGACCAUUUGAAGUUACAAUGGCACUGAAAAAAGUGACUUAUGAUCAUAAGUGUUGCAGCACCUAACUGUUUUACUAAUUUAAUAACUGCAGUGAUUCACUUAACAAAAGUGGCAAGAA
Long non-coding RNA from Thamnophis elegans (Western terrestrial garter snake), 1750 nucleotides. RefSeq lists it as uncharacterized. The transcript has 3 exons. The record is from RefSeq and is a predicted model, not a curated record. Lineage: Eukaryota; Metazoa; Chordata; Lepidosauria; Squamata; Natricidae.